This 2240-nucleotide ribosomal RNA is filed under the name uncultured Burkholderiales bacterium. RNAcentral describes it as "partial contains 16S ribosomal RNA, 16S-23S ribosomal RNA intergenic spacer, and 23S ribosomal RNA". The stretch from base 1 to 1515 matches the Rfam family "Bacterial small subunit ribosomal RNA". The record is from RNAcentral. Lineage: Bacteria; Pseudomonadati; Pseudomonadota; Betaproteobacteria; Burkholderiales.
AUUGAACGCUGGCGGAACGCUUUACACAUGCAAGUCGAACGGUAACGCGGAGAGAAGCUUGCUUCUCUCCGGCGACGAGUGGCGAACGGGUGAGUAAUACAUCGGAACGUGUCCGCUCGUGGGGGACAACCAGCCGAAAGGUUGGCUAAUACCGCAUGAGUUCUACGGAAGAAAGAGGGGGACCCGCAAGGGCCUCUCGCGAGCGGAGCGGCCGAUGACUGAUUAGCCGGUUGGUGAGGUAACGGCUCACCAAAGCAACGAUCAGUAGCUGGUCUGAGAGGACGACCAGCCACACUGGGACUGAGACACGGCCCAGACUCCUACGGGAGGCAGCAGUGGGGAAUUUUGGACAAUGGGCGCAAGCCUGAUCCAGCUAUUCCGCGUGUGGGAUGAAGGCCCUCGGGUUGUAAACCACUUUUGUAGAGAACGAAAAGACACCUUUUAAAAAAGGGUGUUGCUGACGGUACUCUAAGAAUAAGCACCGGCUAACUACGUGCCAGCAGCCGCGGUAAUACGUAGGGUGCGAGCGUUAAUCGGAAUUACUGGGCGUAAAGGGUGCGCAGGCGGUUGAGUAAGACAGAUGUGAAAUCCCCGAGCUUAACUCGGGAAUGGCAUAUGUGACUGCUCGACUAGAGUGUGUCAGAGGGAGGUGGAAUUCCACGUGUAGCAGUGAAAUGCGUAGAUAUGUGGAAGAACACCGAUGGCGAAGGCAGCCUCCUGGGACAUAACUGACGCUCAGGCACGAAAGCGUGGGGAGCAAACAGGAUUAGAUACCCUGGUAGUCCACGCCCUAAACGAUGUUAACUAGUUGUUGGGAAGUAAAAUUCUCAGUAACGCAGCCAACGCGAGAAGUUAACCGCCUGGGAAGUACGGUCGCAAGACUAAAACUCAAAGGAAUUGACGGGGACCCGCACAAGCGGUGGAUGAUGUGGAUUAAUUCGAUGUAACGCGAAAAACCUUACCUACCCUUGACAUGUCAGGAAGCUCUUGUAAUGAGAGUGUGCCCGCAAGGGAGCCUGAACACAGGUGCUGCAUGGCUGUCGUCAGCUCGUGUCGUGAGAUGUUGGGUUAAGUCCCGCAACGAGCGCAACCCUUGUCACUAGUUGCUACGAAAGGGCACUCUAGUGAGACUGCCGGUGACAAACCGGAGGAAGGUGGGGAUGACGUCAAGUCCUCAUGGCCCUUAUGGGUAGGGCUUCACACGUCAUACAAUGGUCGGAACAGAGGGCAGCGAAGUCGUGAGACGGAGCCAAUCCCAGAAAACCGAUCGUAGUCCGGAUUGCAGUCUGCAACUCGACUGCAUGAAGUCGGAAUCGCUAGUAAUCGCGGAUCAGCAUGCCGCGGUGAAUACGUUCCCGGGUCUUGUACACACCGCCCGUCAAACAAUGGGAGUGGUGUUUACCAGAAGUCGUUAGCCUAACCGCAAGGAGGGCGGCGACCACGGUGAGCACCGUGACUAAUGUUAAGUCGUAACAAGGUAGCCGUACCGGAAGGUGCGGCUGGAUCACCUCCUUUCAAGUAAAGCAGUAUGAGCUCAGAAGUUCUGAGUGUCCGCUCUUAUCGGAAGUCGAUAGAAAUUUAAGGACGCAAUAGUUCUUUAACAAUUCGGAAUAAUCAAUCUAACGUUUAAGCUGAUUUGAUGAGAGUCAGCGAGAACGGGUAGUGAUAAGAAAUCUUUACAAAGAGAGAAACUUUGAGAUUUCUCAAGCAAAGACAUACAAGCAUAUGGCAUGAGAACGAGAGUUGCUUGUGACCCGGCCGGGCAAUAGGCGGCAGGGUUAUAGGAUCAAGUGACUAAGUGCAUGUGGCGGAUGCCUUGGCGAUCACAGGCGAAGAAAGACGCGGCAGCCUGCGAAAAGCUGCGGGGAGCUGGCAAACGAGCUUUGAUCCGCAGAUAUCUGAAUGGGGGAACCCACACCGCAAGGUGUAUCCGUAACUGAAUACAUAGGUUACGGAGGCGAACGAGGAGAACUGAAACAUCUAAGUAUCCUCAGGAAAAGAAAUCAACCGAGAUUCCGGCAGUAGCGGCGAGCGAACCCGGAGGAGCCCAGCUUUUGAUAGUACGAACUUUAGCCGAAAGGUCCUGGAAAGGCCUGCUAUAGUGGGUGAUAGCCCCGUAGGCGAAAGAGUUGGUACGGUACUAAGGAAGCGAGAAGUAGAGCGGGACACGUGGAAUCCUGUUCGAAGACGGGGGGACCAUCCUCCAAGGCUAAAUACUCGUGAUCGACCGAUAGUGAACC